RNAcentral lists this ribosomal RNA (253 nucleotides) under uncultured bacterium. RNAcentral's name for it is "partial 16S ribosomal RNA". It matches the Rfam family "Bacterial small subunit ribosomal RNA", at positions 524 to 776 of the family's 1533-position model. The record is from RNAcentral.
UACGUAGGGGGCUAGCGUUGUCCGGAAUCAUUGGGCGUAAAGCGCGUGUAGGCGGCCCGGUAAGUCCGCUGUGAAAGUCGGGGGCUCAACCCUCGGAUGCCGGUGGAUACUGUCGGGCUCGAGUACGGAAGAGGCGAGUGGAAUUCCUGGUGUAGCGGUGAAAUGCGCAGAUAUCAGGAGGAACACCGAUUGCGAAGGCAGCUCGCUGGGACGUGACUAACGCUGAGGUGCGAAAGCGUGGGGAGCAAACAGG